This 232-nucleotide long non-coding RNA is filed under the name Olea europaea (common olive). Its description in RNAcentral is "long non-coding RNA (OEUR_LNC000637)". Lineage: Eukaryota; Viridiplantae; Streptophyta; Magnoliopsida; Lamiales; Oleaceae. The record is from RNAcentral.
AACAAACUCCGCAAUGUACUCCCGCAAUACCAAAGCGUCGGUUGUUUAUGGUAUCAUCGCUAAUUUUGUCAUUCGACACGUGUUUUUGGUUAACGAUGCGAGGUGUCUGACUUUUUGGGUAAUCUGGUUGUGCCAGGUCUCAGUCACUAAAUCACUACACAUUGAUGACAUAUGUUGUCUGAAACAUUAUCAAUCACAGGAACACUGAUUUUCAUCUUCGACUUAAACACCC